AUGAUAAACAAACUUGUGGAUUUAGGAACUGCCCAUCUAUUCAUGCGGAUGCAGGAGAAAAACAGGGGAAAGUGCGGGAACCUUUUGAAAACAGCAACCAAGAGAAUUGUCCAUUUGCGGUUUAAGCUGCAACUUUUGUUCCAGCCACACAGAGACUACCACAGCUCUGGUGUCAGGAGUCAACAACAGGCGCAGUUAGACGAGGUCAUGCUGUCAGAACAUCUGGGGAACUUGAACAGCUUUGGAUCGGUUGCAGAGUCAGCAAGACAACAUUUGGUUGUGUCUGCCAAUCGUCUCCUGCGGUUUGAGGAUGAAACAGAAAAAGAGGUGGAGACUCGUUAUUUGGAACGUUGGAGCCAAAGGAGACAGGAAAUGCAGCGGAGAGCAGGAGUCCUGGUGUCCAAACCCGACUUAGAGAGUUUGAAAGCAGGACUGGAGCUCAGACAGGGGAAGUCUCCUGCUGUCGGGAGGCUGAGAGGACAAACAGUGAUGAGAGAAUUGGAGAGACAGAAGAGCCUAAACAGGAAGCAACUGAGGCUGCGGACAGAGCCGCUCAGAGAGACCUACAUCGGCUGUGUCACGCCUUCUGACACAGGGAGACAAGGAGAAAAGACUUGUCGGGAAUCGUGUGCCCAAGUGAGACAAAGGACCACUCACAGUGAAAUGUUUGGAUCUCCGCAGACCGCCUCACAACCUCUUCUACUCAUAGAUCCACCAACAGUCCUUCUAAAACAUCAGUGA
This 741-nucleotide long non-coding RNA is filed under the name Oryzias javanicus (javanese ricefish). RNAcentral's name for it is "lncRNA (ENSOJAG00000002394.1)". Lineage: Eukaryota; Metazoa; Chordata; Actinopteri; Beloniformes; Adrianichthyidae. The record is from RNAcentral.